CCAUAUCGUUCUGAACAUACUCCCUGUUGCCUGAUUUUGGAAGCUAAACAGAGCUGGACCUGGUUAGUAAUUGGCUGGGAGACUACACGGAAAUAUUGGGG
RNAcentral lists this ribosomal RNA (101 nucleotides) under Pogona vitticeps (central bearded dragon). Lineage: Eukaryota; Metazoa; Chordata; Lepidosauria; Squamata; Agamidae. The record is from RNAcentral.